RNAcentral lists this small RNA (143 nucleotides) under Tatumella morbirosei. Its description in RNAcentral is "isrN Hfq binding RNA". It matches the Rfam family "isrN Hfq binding RNA". The record is from Rfam by way of RNAcentral. Lineage: Bacteria; Pseudomonadati; Pseudomonadota; Gammaproteobacteria; Enterobacterales; Erwiniaceae.
CGAUGACUGGGUCAUUGCGCUGUGUAUCCGGCUGGUAAAAAAAUACCGUCCUGCUCAGUGAUAAUGUCCUGUAAGCCUUGCGCGCGCUCAUUUUAUGCUGCGAGAUCAGAUAAUGGGAGAGUUCACGCUUUAUCACUGGUUUU